UCAAUUCUUCUUUUGUUUUAAAACACUGAUAAAGAUAGUUUCCUCAAAAAACACACAACUCGUUAUCAGUCUUACAGAACACUUUGUCUUGGAACGUGUUAGUGGAAGAAACUCAACAAUGGGAAUUCUAUUGUUGUUCGUGAUGGUCUUAGCCUUUUGUUUGUCUUACAUUGGAGUGAUUCUUUUUUUAAAGAAGAUAAGUCUCGCAGGUUUGGAACUUAAAAACAUUAACGAUGUCAAAAUACUCCUCUCCCCACCUCAAAAACCAUCGAAACUUAAUUACUUACAAAAGAGUGCAUGAUUUUUUAAAAUUUUUAUUCUAAAACAACAAAAAUUAAGUAAAUAAUUUAUUAUUAUUACGUUUGGCCGGCGUGCUUGUUGCUCCAAGUCCAGUUGCAUUGUUACCAAAUGAGAAAGACAUGAUUUAAAUUGUACACAAGUCUUGAAAUUAAUUAAAGGAAUUUUCUACA
Molecule: long non-coding RNA, 470 nt
Organism: Eupeodes corollae
Lineage: Eukaryota; Metazoa; Arthropoda; Insecta; Diptera; Syrphidae
Exons: 2
Source: RefSeq, a predicted model, not a curated record